GGUUUUCAGCUCGAUGGUCGAGCAGAUUGUAUUGUAAACAAUAAGUUGUUGGUUCGAGUCCAACAAAACCACCA
Molecule: transfer RNA, 74 nt
Filed under: Clostridiales bacterium
Lineage: Bacteria; Bacillati; Bacillota; Clostridia; Eubacteriales
Description: tRNA-Thr
Rfam family: tRNA
About the family: Transfer RNA (tRNA) molecules are approximately 80 nucleotides in length. Their secondary structure includes four short double-helical elements and three loops (D, anti-codon, and T loops).
Source: RNAcentral